Molecule: ribosomal RNA, 510 nt
Filed under: uncultured bacterium
Lineage: Bacteria
Description: bacterial SSU rRNA
Rfam family: Bacterial small subunit ribosomal RNA
Source: RNAcentral
AGUAGUUGAUCAGUGGCUACAGGACGAACGCGUGGCGGCGUGUUAACACAUGCAAGUGGAGCGACGAACCGGGCUUGCCCGGGCAGAGCCGCGAACGGGUGAGUAACACGUGGUAACCUGCCUCAAUGAUUGGGACAACCCGGGGAAACUCGGGCUAAUACCAAAUGUGUUCACUCCUUCUAAGGGGAGUGAGGAAAGGAAGCUUCGGCCUCCGCAUUGAGAUGGGCCCGCGGCCCAUUAGCUUGUUGGUGAGGUAACGGCUCACCAAGGCUUCGAUGGGUAGCUGGUCUGAGAGGACGAUCAGCCACACUGGGACUGAGACACGGCCCAGACUCCUACGGGAGGCAGCAGUGGGGAAUCUUGCACAAUGCGCGAAAGCGUGAUGCAGCAACGCCGCGUGGGGAAGACGGCCUCCGGGUUGUAAACCCCUUUCAGUUGGGACGAAGCUUCGUCGGUGAAUAGCCGGUUGGAGUGACGGUACCUUCAGAAGAAGCCCCGGCUAACUACGUG